Molecule: non-coding RNA, 26 nt
Filed under: Gallus gallus (chicken)
Lineage: Eukaryota; Metazoa; Chordata; Aves; Galliformes; Phasianidae
Also listed under: 3 other names
Source: RNAcentral
AGCUGCCUUCCAAGCAGUUGACCCGG